AUUGGUGAAGCACAAUCCCUUACAAAACUGUUCUUGUGGAUCUGGAAGCUUUUCAUUGAACCAUACCCUUUUGUAACACCCACGAUGCGGCUAUAUCUCCCACGUGUCGGAGCACGACUUAGAGGCAUAACCGCAUGGUGGUUUUGUCACAAGAAGGGUCAUCUUCACACAAUCCCAUGUAAUGAACAAGAAUGGGAUAAAGAGAGUUGGCUUACAAUCGCCACUUCACACAAUACAUAAUUAAGAUCAUACAUCAUUCAAAUACACUCAUAGACCGGCUACGGUCAAGUUCAAAUGAAAAGAAGACAACCCCAAAUGCUAGAUCCCCGAUCGCCCCGACUGGGCUCCUCUACUGAUCAUCUGGAAACGAUACAUAAUAACGACCAAGGGCCUCAUCAAAUUCCCACUUCAGCUCAGUUGCGCCAUCUGCGCCAGUAUCCUCGGCACCUGCAUCUGUUUUGGUAGAAUCUGUGAGUCACGAGGACUCAGCAAUCUCACACCCGCGAGAUCAAGACUAUUUAAGCUCACAAGUAGGUAAGGGGUAAUAUGGUGGAGCUGCAGCAAGCACUAAGCAUAUAUGGUGUCUAACAUACGCAAGUGAGAGCGAGAAGAGAAGCAACGCAUCGGUCGAGAAACUAGAAGUGAUCAAGAAGUGAUCCUGAAACUACUUACGUCAAGCAUAACACAAACCGUGUUCACUUCCCGGACUCCGCCGAGAAGAGACCAUCACGGCUACACACACAGUUGAUGCAUUUUAAAGAGGUCAAGUGUCAAGUUAUCUACAACCGGACAUUAACAAAUUCCCAUCUGCCUCAUAAUCGCGGGCACGGCUUUCGAAAGAUUAUAUACCCUGCAGGGGUGUCCCAACUCAGCCCAUCACAAGCUCUCACGAUCAACGAAGGAAUAGACCUUCUCCCAGGAAGACCCAAUCAGUCUCGGAAUCCCGGUUCGCAAAACAUUUCGACAAUGGUAAAACAAGUCCAGCAAAGCCGCCCGAUGCACCGACAAAUCCCGAUAGGAGCUGCACAUAUCUCGUUCUCAGGGCACACCAGAUGAACACUACGUACAACUAGAACCAGUCCUCAAGUUUCCCCGAGGUGGCGCUGCAAGUGGCUCUAGUUUGGACCAACACUCAGAGGAGCACUGGCCCGGGGGGGCAAUAAAGAUGACCCUUGGGCUCGCGAAAACCCAAGGGAAAGGGCUUAGGUGGCAAAUGGUAAAACCAAGGUUGGGCCUUGCUAGAGGAGUUUUAUUCAAAGCGAACUGUUAAGGGGGUCCCAUAAAUCACCCAACCGUGUAAGGAACGCAAACUCAAGGAACAUAACACCGGUAUCACGGAACUAGGGCGGCAAGAGUGGAACAAGUCACCAGGCAUAAGGCCGAGCCUUCCACCCUUUACCAAGUAUAUAAGGUGCAUUAAUUUAAACAGGAGAUAUUGCGAUAUCCCAAAAUAUUCGUGUUCCGACCAGGAACAAACUUCACCUUCACCUGCAACUAACAACGCUAUAAGAGGGGCUGGGCAAAAGCGGUGACAUAGCCAAUCAAUGGUUGCUAGGACAGGUUGGUUAGAGGGUUGACAUGGCAAUAGGUAGGCAUGGUAAACAAAGGCAGGUAGGGCUAACAUAGCGAAAGAGCGAAUACUAGCAAGCAAAGAUAGAAAUGAUUUCGAAGGUAUGGUCAUCUUGCCUGCAAGGUUCUCAGAGUUGUCGAAGGCUGGAUCCUCGUUAGCGUACUCAACAGGUUCCUCGUUCACGUACUCGUCUCCCGGCU
Molecule: long non-coding RNA, 1770 nt
Filed under: Triticum aestivum (bread wheat)
Lineage: Eukaryota; Viridiplantae; Streptophyta; Magnoliopsida; Poales; Poaceae
Description: long non-coding RNA (TAES_LNC001937)
Source: RNAcentral